CUGCAUUGAGGUCUUACUACUUAUACCUAAUCUACUUUUCUUCGAUAUGUUUUGACGUCUAUGAGUUGUGGUUCGUAAUCUAGGUGUAUAGCUUUCAGUUUUGAAUCUAUACACUAGUUUCGACUCUGUUCUUGAACUAUGUCUCCAACUUGGAACAGUUUAUCAAUAAAUCUCCUAAAGUCUUUUGGUUUUACAAGAAGAAAGAUACGAGAAAGUUCAUCUGAAAAAAAAACAAGAAAAAAAAACACACUACUGUUUGGUUUCUUCGCUCUGCUAUUGCUCCCACUCUUUCAAGGACGUUGUGGUUGCUCUUGCCUUUGGAGAUCUUUGCUGCUUUAAUCCCGUCGCUUGUGUCCACCACGUUAGUAAGAAGUGUUAAAAUCACUAGGUAAAGAGAUGACAAAAAGGGUUUAUAUAAUAUACUUAACAGUAUCUGCAUUGUUCAAAGCUUCAGAUUCAGGAUGGUGACGUUUGACUUGUUGCUUAUCAACGACGCUUGUACACAUUCGCUUUGAAUGGUGAUUACAGAACUGUUUGCUUCUUCCUCCACAUUGCACCGUUUCUACUGGGACGUUUGGUUGCGGCUGCUGGUAAUGUCCGUUUUGGUGUUGUGGCCGCGUUACUAGUUGUGCUGCUAAAUUGAUAAUAUGAAUGUUCAAAGCUUCUUCAGAUUCAGGAAGAUGAUGUGUUACUCCUCCUCCUGGUUGUUGCUGAUGAUCAACGCUUGUAUACGUCAGCAUUGAUGGGGAUAUGUCAAAGUUAUUAUCACAUAACAGUUCAUCAGUGAUUUCUUCAUUUUGUUGCUGCUGCUGCUGCUGCUGCCAAUGGGGUUGGUAUUGUCCGAUUAGGUGUCGCCUCCAAACUCUAGUCUCAACUGUUGAAAAAAAAAUAAGACAUUCUUAAGUAGAUGGGUCAAAUACAAUGAGAGAGAGUAAGGUUGAGUUUCUCUUCUUUAUAUGCAGCAGGAUCAGUAGGUAGCCACCAAUCAUCAGUAUCUGCUGGUAUAAAGGUUGGAGCUCCAAGAGAGUUAACUAGAGGGAAAGAAAAGGAAUCCGAUUCAUACCAAAUGGUUAAGUAUAAAAGGUUUUGAUACAGUGAGAAGAGAGCGUGAGUUUUUUUCUUUACUAAUAUGAUCAUCAUUAUAUGUAUGCAAUGGAUUCUGAUGGGGUUGAUUUUGCUGAUCGUGAGGAACCGGCGGCAGCUGCAUCAUUGCAAAACAGAGAGACAGCAGGAAGUUUUAGAAGCAAGAAACUUAAUUUUCAGUCACUGUAUUGUAGUACAAAAAAACUUUUUCAGGCUUUACUUGAUGGACCAUUUGCAUAUGGAAAUGGUAAGCUUGUAGUAUAAAGGUGUUGCUCUUGCUGAUCAUAAGGAAUAUGGAAACUGCGUCACUGCCAACAGAGAGACAGAAGGAACCCUCAGGAGCCAGAAAGUGCAAGAAAUCAACUUUUCAAUCAGUGUAUGCAGUACACUAUUUUUGUAAGGAAUUACCAGCUGCGUCUCUUUCUGGUCAGCUAGUAGAGCGCUAUCUUAAUAUAUAAAACAGACUUUUCUGGCUUCUCAAUGUAUCCACGUCGCUUUUAAAGGUAGGGGCAUUUUGUGACACCUGUCGCAACAACAUUGGUUCAGCGUUUUUUUCCCUGAACUUUAACUCGAUUACUCAAUUCAUCUCCCAGCGUAACGGACGGAAGCUUCGACUAUAAAUCUAUGACUUCUCUCACUGCCUUUUUCUCUGAUAAAUUUCUUUUUUGGUUGCUCGAUUUUCUUGGAUGGGCCAGACAGUUUCUGAGAAAUUAAUUGGGUUUUAUACUGUCUGUGCAAAUAAACCCAAUGUUAGGUUUCUUCCUUCUCGAUAAUGGAGAUGGAGAACAGAAACGUCAUGCCUUUUCAGAUCACACCGUCUCUGACGACUAUGUAACGACUGCAAUUAUCAUUUAGUAGUUUUCUUAGACUUUUAUGUAAGCCAUGGUUCUUUUCAAUUUUUCAGAUUUUUUUUUAAACAUUUCAGAUUUUUACCAUUAAUCCUUCCAUGUAUUGGAUUUCUAUUCAGUCUUCACGAAUCUCACCAAAAAAAAUCCUUCACAAAAUCAUAUUUGGAAACAUCUUCUGCUUCUUGAAAGGGUUUGUCUUGAUGAUUUAUGUUUCGAAUCUAUGAUUGGAAGAUCUACAGAUAUACCGGACAAGCUAUUGAUGGAUACAGUGGACAGGAGGGUGGAAUCACAUUUUUGGGUUCGUCAGUUCGUGGACCAUGUUUGCAACUUCUACCACAAUUAAAACUUAUUAGUAAUUAUUACAUUCACGUGUUUACAGAUGUCUUCUAAUUUUCUUAAGCUCCACUAAAGUGUUUUUUUUAAAUCUCAGCUUAUUGUUUCUUCAAAUGUGUUGUUAAUUUCCACCAUCUUAAUAAAAAAAGGUUUAGCA
Raphanus sativus (radish) is the source of this 2421-nucleotide long non-coding RNA. RefSeq lists it as uncharacterized. NCBI's taxonomy places the organism in Eukaryota, Viridiplantae, Streptophyta, Magnoliopsida, Brassicales, Brassicaceae. The record is from RefSeq and is a predicted model, not a curated record. The transcript is spliced from 2 exons.